GACGAACGCUGGCGGCGCGCCUAACACAUGCAAGUCGAACGGAGUCAAGAGGAGCUUGCUUUUCUUGACUUAGUGGCGAACGGGUGAGUAACGCGUGAGUAACCUGCCCUGGAGUGGGGGACAACAGUUGGAAACGACUGCUAAUACCGCAUAAGCCCACGGAUCCGCAUGGAUCUGCGGGAAAAGGAUUUAUUCGCUUCAGGAUGGACUCGCGUCCAAUUAGCUAGUUGGUGAGGUAACGGCCCACCAAGGCGACGAUUGGUAGCCGGACUGAGAGGUUGAACGGCCACAUUGGGACUGAGACACGGCCCAGACUCCUACGGGAGGCAGCAGUAGGGGAUAUUGCACAAUGGGGGAAACCCUGAUGCAGCGACGCCGCGUGGAGGAAGAAGGUUUUCGGAUUGUAAACUCCUGUCGUUAGGGACGAUAAUGACGGUACCUAACAAGAAAGCACCGGCUAACUACGUG
RNAcentral lists this ribosomal RNA (468 nucleotides) under uncultured bacterium. Its description in RNAcentral is "partial 16S ribosomal RNA". It matches the Rfam family "Bacterial small subunit ribosomal RNA", at positions 28 to 507 of the family's 1533-position model. The record is from RNAcentral.